Molecule: long non-coding RNA, 14330 nt
Filed under: Brassica rapa (field mustard)
Lineage: Eukaryota; Viridiplantae; Streptophyta; Magnoliopsida; Brassicales; Brassicaceae
Description: long non-coding RNA (BRAP_LNC008409)
Source: RNAcentral
AUGAAGAUCAAGAAGUGGAGAGAUGAAGCUUUGGGGUUCAGUAGAGUGAUGAGGCAGAAACAGUAACUUCAGAGAUUUACCAUGGUAACUUUAGAAUUUACCUCAGUUACUUUGGAGUUACCAUGUCUGGAUGGAAGUGACUUGGGAAGUUACCUUGGCUCUAUCCUAAUGAAGGAACUCGUCCAAGAGAGGGAUGGAUAAGGUUUGGGGCUAGCUGGAAAGGUAAAGCUACUUUACAGCCUGUCCAAGCAUGUGAAGCAUCUCAGCCUAUUAUUUGUAUUGACCUCACAUGCUUAUAGGUCUAAGUUGAAUUCACUGAACCUAGACAUGAUUGUAAUCUCCUUAUACCUUGUAUGCUCUCAUCUGAAUGAAUUAAUCUGAGUUUUGAGACUAUCUCUCUCUCUAAUCUUUCUACUCUCUCUCUCAUUACUCUAAUCUCUUAAUUCUCUUAAUCUACUUACUCAAAUCAAUCUUAUUCUCUCUUAAUCCACGUUCUACACUCACUAAAUCAAAAUCUAAUAUGGUAUCAGAGCCAGGUUGCUCUAAAACCUGAGUUCAUUCCGCAAAUUUGUGUUCUUGGAGAUUCUGGGUUUGUGAGUGUGCUUGAAGAUUUGGUAUUCUGGGUUAUUGGUGUGUUGAGGUUCUCUUCUUGUAGAUGGAAACAGACGACACCAUGGUGGAGCUAUGUACAACAGUUACUCCUGAUGAGUGGAAUCGUGGGGGUGAAGUGAUUACAAAGCAGAUGGGUGAAGGCAAGUGGAUUCAAGAGAAUCAUGGAACACUUGGGAUCAUCCAGAGGUCGCUCUCAAGUUCAACCCUGGAAGCUGAUGGUCAUGAAGGGACAGCUAAGGAGUUGUGGGAGAGUAUGGAAGCUGUGUAUGAGGACAGAUCGCAUCUAUGCAAGGUUUUUGUGGUUAAGCGGGCCAUUGAGAAUCUGAGGCAAGAUGGAGAAGAGCUCAGUAAGCAUCUUGAACGCUUUAAGAGCUUAUGGGCAGAGUUGAAGGCACUCAGACUGAGUACCUCAGAUAAAGACAUACUGAAGAGAAGGCUAGAGCAAGAUGAAGUGUUUAGUCUUCUGCUGAGUUUAGAUAAGUCUUAUGAUAAACUGGUCAAGAAGAUCCUCACGGAAGAAGUCCUACCUGAUGUGGAGAGUGUGUGUGGUUUGGUGAAGCAUGAGCAAGCAACGAUGCAGCCGGAUAAGAGGAGAAAGAUUACUGAGCUAGAACAAGUAAUCACCGGCAAGAGCUUGUAUUCAGCAUACAUAGGAGACAUAAAAGAUGGGGAUAGCUUAACAAACAGACACGAGAAGGGUGGAGCUGAUGAGGUGAUUACCAGAAGAGAAUGGGAUGCAUUUGUAGCCAAAGCGAAAGCACUCACUGCAUCAAAGAAGCAAGGAAGUCAUUCAGUAAGGUCUAAACCUAUUAUUGUGGAUUCUGGAGCCAGUCAUCACAUGAUCAGUGAUAGGAGUCUGAUGGAUGAAGUGAGAGCAGCUACUGGAAAUGUUCAGAUAGCAAAUGGAGAUAAAAUUCCUAUAGAAAGGAUAGGAAGCUUGAAGCUAUUUGACAGGGAGUCAACAGCCUUGUACCUGCCUCAGUUUACCUCCAAUUUGAUAUCUGUAAAGAGAGCUACUAUUGAUUUGCAAUGUCAAGUAGUAUUCAGGCCACAGGAGGUUGAGUUUCAAGAUCUUGUUACGGGUCAAGUGAUUGGAAAGGGGAGCAGUACCAACAAUCUAUACCAGCUACAAUCAACUAAGCUCUCUAAACCCUCUAUCUCUAUAUGCAUGAGUAGUACUGCUGAUGGCUGUGAUAGUAUUACUUGGCAUGCUAGAUUAGGACAUCCUCAUACUCGCGCCCUUGAGCUAAUGAUGCCUAAUCUAUCAGUUAAUCACCUUGAAUGUGAAGCAUGCAUACUAGGGAAGCAUUGCAAAACUGUCUUUCCCACAUCUGAAACUGUCUAUGAGAAAUGCUUUGACUUAAUACACUCUGAUGUGUGGACAUCUCCAUGUAUAUCUAGGGAUAAGCAUAAGUAUUUUGUGACUUUCAUAGAUGAAAAAUCUAAGUAUACAUGGGUCACAUUGCUUCCCUCCAAGGAUAGAGUGUUAGAGGCAUUUAUAAACUUCCAAGCUUAUGUCACUAAUCACUAUAAUGCUACUGUGAAGGUACUAAGGUCAGACAAUGGAGGUGAAUACACUAGCCAUGCAUUCAAGAAUCAUCUGAUGAAGCAUGGGAUAGUUCAUCAAACCAGCUGUCCCUACACUCCACAACAGAAUGGUGUGGCUGAGAGGAAGAACAGACACCUGAUGGAAGUAGCAAGAUCAAUGAUGUUUCAUUCGAAUGUUCCCAAGAGAUUUUGGAGUGAUGCAGUUGUCUCAGCAUGUUAUCUCAUCAACAGGACACCGACGAAAGUUCUGAGGGAUCUAUCUCCAUUUGAGGUACUGAACAAGGCUAGGCCGCAGAUUCAACAUCUGAGAGUGUUUGGGUGUACCUGCUAUGUAUUGGUUCCAGGAGAGCUGAGGAAGAAGCUUGAUGCAAAGAGCACUAAGGCUAUGUUUAUUGGAUACUCCAUUACUCAGAAAGGGUAUAAGUGCUAUGAUCCAAUAACAGGGAGGGUGUUGGUGUCUAGAGAUGUCAAAUUCAUUGAAGGAAAAGGGUAUUAUGAAGAAAAGAUAUGAGAAGAUUUGAAGGAUCUUCCACAAACGCCAUCAGAUAAGGCAACAAAUCUGAGGAAAAUAUUGGAGAAUCUUGGGAUUAGCAUGACCCAGGAUCAGGGAACAAGAAGAGAACCACCAAGAAGCACAAGUACUCAUGAGGAGGAAAGUGAAAGGAGGUCCCCUCUUGAUCAUGAGGGGGGAAGUGAAGCUGAAUCAGGAGUGCAACAACAACAGCAAAGUGAUUCAGGAAGUCAUGAUCAAGGAGAGACACAAGGAGAAGAGAGUCCAAGAUCAGAUGGAGAUGCGCAGGCUGAUAGAGAGAGUCCAAGAUCAGAUGGAGAUGCGCAGACUGAUAGAGAUGAGCAGGCAGCUAUGCAAAAUCCAGUCGAGUCAGUUGGGAUUCAGGAACCAGAAACAGAGGUUCAACCACUGAGGAGAAGUACCAGGGUAAAGAAAGAUCCAUCAAAUUGGGUGAACACAAGGAUAUACUACAAUGCGGAGGCCGUAGCACAUCCGACUCAAGCAGUAUGUUCGUUUGCAACAUAUCCAGAGGAGCAUGUGGUCUUCAUGUGUAAUCUGGAUGAGAAUGAGAUCCCAAGGUCUUAUGAGGAAGCCAUGAAGCAUAAGGUCUGGAGAAAUUCAGUGGGUGAUGAAAGGGAUGCAAUGAUCAGGAAUGACACUUGGUAUGAGAGUGAAUUACCAAGAGGGAAGAAGGCUGUGUCUAGCAGAUGGAUCUUCACAAUCAAGUACCGGGCAGAUGGAACUAUUGAGAGACGCAAAACCAGGCUGGUAGCAAGAGGGUUUACACAGACUUAUGGGGAAGACUACAUUGAUACUUUUGCACCAGUGGCUAAGCUUCACACAAUUUGAAUUGUGUUAUCCAUUGCAACAAACUUGGAGUGGGAUCUAUGGCAAAUGGAUGUGAAGAAUGCUUUCCUGCAAGGUGAACUAGAAGAUGAAGUAUACAUGCAUCCACCUCCUGGUCUUGAGCAUCUAGUAAAGCCAGGGAAUGUUUUAAGAUUGAAGAAGGCAAUAUAUGGGCUAAAACAGUCACCUAGAGCUUGGUACAGGAAGUUGAGUACCACUCUCAAUGGGAGAGGCUUUAGUGUAACACCCCCGAACCAUUUAAGACAUCGGUCAGUCAGUCGAGCAACAAUCAAACAAGAACAUGCCCGAACGACCUUCCUCUGCUAAGUCUGGAAGUGUCACAACGGGUUUAGAAUAGACUUUCCAAGUCACAAAACAUAAUUCUGUAACCCAGAAUAUCCAUUCAAAACUCGUUUCCUCUAAUCUUCGGCCUGAGGCUUUGCAACCCGUACCGAGUCAUAGAGUUGUGUUAGGUUGGACUAACCUAAUAUCAGAUUCAACACGUCACGAAUAUUAAACAUACUUUAUUCCAUAUAUAUAUAAAACAUGAAGUUCACGAGCCCAAAAUAUUAUACAUAUGGUCCAUGGACGCAGUCGAAAGUAAAACAUACAUUCAUAUAUCUUGAAAACGAGUCUUUAGCAAAAGAUGUCCAAUCUACACCAGCUCCUACAGUUCCGUGAGUGCUACGGUCUUUUCUACUGGUCACCUGCAAAAGGAUGUGAGGAGUGAGUGAACUAGUUUCACUCAGUGAGCCAGGGUUCCCUAUCUAGCAUAUAUAACUACCCGUCAUUUUAAACCCAACCCCAAACACAAGCAAGACGGGUAGUUCAACAAUCAGUAUUCAAGAUCAUAAAGCAAUACCGAUUUAAGCAAUAAAGCUUUAAACCAUAUUUAAUCAAAACACUCUUUAUGAGUGUCAUUCAAUAAACCAUAUACAUGUACUCCUAGGGCCCAACAGAAUCAUUCUUCCUCCACAUAAGGGACACCGGCAAUCCCUUCACUAUUACACCACACAGGCGUAGGCGCUCGGGAAUCGCCCGGUCACGGUCCUCAAUCGGAAUCACCGUGCCCCGGUCCUCUAUCGGACUCGCCGGGGGCUGUCACAUCCACGUGUGACACCCGGCCUCGGUGAUCAAGCCAAGUUAAACCGAGCCCACCACUUUCCGGACCACGACCGGCUUAGUGGUACCAUUUGAGAAAGCAAUGACCUGCAACUACUACUAGAACCACCACGAGGUUCUCACACAACAAUACCAACACGAGGUACCCACUAUAACAACAUAUAAUAAUUACACAAUCGCAAUAAUCCGGGUGCUUAGACUAGUCUUGCUAUCCACUUAGCCUAGACAUCGUCUCAAGCCUCGGAUCCACAAACUGACACCUAGCCCGGUCCGGCUAUCCUAGCUCGGAAACCGUCUCCGAUGUCAGGAGCCUGCAUUAAAAAUUUGUUAACAAACAAUUAACCGUGACUCACAGUGAUUAACCGAUGUGGCUUGACUUUCUGAUUCCGGAAGCUGACCAAACCCUUUUUAUUCUUCCAAAUCUUCGUCUUGAUUACGUACCGUUAAUCUCGCAAUCUUGUAACACGUCUUGCCUCUCUAAGCAGCUCCUUAAAUAUAUUAUUUAUUUUCCUUCUUUUUUUUUUCUAUUUCUUUUCUCUCUUUCUUUUAUUUCUCUUCUCUCCUGUUCUUUUUCUCCUUCUCUCUCUUGGUCGUUGAUGUUCUGAUCGUGAGAAAAUGGAGGGACUUUGCUUCAUUUAUAUAGUCAACCAAGAUGUAUGAGGUGGUGACAAGUAUCACACUCUUCUUCCCAUCUUUGACCACGUUUUCAAAGCAAUGACUAAGUCAUUUGCUUCCUAGUUGGCCACGUGAUACUCAUAAGCAUGAGCAAGCAUAUUAAUUUAUUUUCUUCCUUUCUUAUAUAGACACCUGAUGAUGACAAAGCAAACCUGUAUGAUUCAUUCUCCUUUCCUUCCCAUCAAACACGUUGAUUGCAACCAAGCCAUAAGAAAUAUAAAAUAUUUCUUUAUCUCCUCUUUUCUUCUCAGCUUGAUUAAUUAACCCAAACUUAGUAAUCAAAACACCAUUCUCAUCGAUCACUUUUCUCCUUUUAAAAGAUAUAGCUUAAUUAUCCAAUUAAGCUACUAACUUACUUUCAAUGCAUCGAUCACUUUUUGUCUUUAGCUUUGUAUUUUUCUUUCCAGAAAAAUUUAUUUCUGAGAAUUUAUUAUGUUGAAUUAUUUAUUUAAAAAUAAUUCUUUCUCAGAAAGACGGGAUAUUACAUCCUCCUCCCCUUAUUAGAAUUCGUCCCCGAAUUCUCUAGGAUGAUCCCUUUUCUUCCAUCACUACGUCUUCAUGGAAGAAUUCUGGAUGCGAUGCUUUGAAUCUUGACUCAUCCUCCCAGGUCACAAUUACAUGGUUUCGCUUACCCCAGAAGACUUGGAUUUGAGGAAUCUCUUGGUUCUUUAGUUUUCGUAUUCGACGUUCACCUAUUCGGAUCGGUCCCUGUGGAUAAGUGAGAUUUGUUUGCAAGUUUUCAAUUUGCUCCGUCUCAAUAGCUUUGGGAUCAUGAACAUGCUUCCGUAGCAUUGAUACGUGAAACACCGGAUGUAUCCGCAUUUCUUCGGGCAGGUUGAGACGGUAAGCAACAUCUCCGAUUCGUUCUUCAAUCUGGUAAGGCCCAAUGAAUCUUACCGCAAGUUUCCCGACUUUCCCGAAUCGAUCUUUUCCUUUCUGAGCUGACACUUUCAGAUAAACCCAAUCACCAAUACUGAACACCACUUCUCGCCUUGAUUGAUCGGCGUAUUUCUUUUGUCUAUCCUGCGCUUUUUUCAUAUUGGUUUGAAUGAUCUCCAACUUUUUCAUCGUCUCUUCUACAAUUUCGGGUCCAAACUCUCUUCUUUCUCCAACUUCGGUCCAACAUAAAGGUGUUUUGCAUGGCCUCCCAUAAAGCGCCUCAUAUGGUGCCAUACCUAUGCUAGAAUGAAAGCUGUUGUUGUAGGAGAACUCGAUUAAUGGUAAAUGCUUUUCCCAGCUUCCCGCCCAAUCCAAUAUACACAUCCGCAUCAUAUCCUCUAUGGUUCGAAUGGUUCUUUCGGUUUGGCCGUCCGUCUCGGGAUGAUACGCGGUGCUAAUAAACAACUUAGUUCCCACUGCUUUUUGUAACGCCUUCCAAAAAUUUGAGGUGAAUCUAGGAUCUCGAUCAGAGACUAUAUCUGUUGGCACACCAUGCAACUUCACAAUCUGAUCCACGUACAUCUCUGUCAAUACUUCUACCUUAUCGGUUUCCUUCAUAGGUAACAAGUGCGCCACUUUUGUCAAUCUGUCGACAAUCACCCAUAUUGCAUUAUUUGAUCUUCCUCUAGCCGGCGGUAACCCAGUGAUGAAGUCCAUGGAUAUGGAAUCCCAUUUCCACUGAGGUACUGGUAAGCUUUGUAAUAAUCCUCCUGGAAUCUGAUGCUCGACUUUGACUUGUUGACAAGUUUGGCAUUGAGCCACCCAUCGCGCCACUGACUUCUUCAUUCCUGGCCAAUGAUAAUACUUUCGGAUAUCUCGAUACAUUUUCGUACUCCCGGGAUGGAUACUGAGUAACGAGUGAUGCGCCGACUUCAAAAUUUCAUCUCGUAGCCCUUCUCCCUGUGGUACUGAUAUCCUCCCAUUAAGUAAAAGUGUACCAUCUGCCGCCACAUGAUAACCACUUGGGUUUGUACCUUCAGGAUUCUUGACUUCCUCGAUGAUUAUCUUUAGCUUUUCAUCACAUUCUUGCUCUUUUCUGAUCCGUGCGAGUAAACCUGCUUGGUCUACGGCACGCGUGCCUAAGGACUCACUUGGUUCUCCCUCAAUUGCCUGUAACGUCAUCAACUUGAGUUCAUUUGAUAACGCUUCCACUUCCUUUCCAACAUCAGACGCCAACUUUCUACGACUUAGUGCAUCUGCGACAACAUUAGCUUUGCCUGGAUGAUAUUGAAUCUUCAAGUCGUAAUCCGCCACAAACUCCAUCCAUCGCCUUUGUCGGAGGUUUAGAUCAGGCUGUGUGAACAAGUACUUGAGACUCUUAUGAUCUGUGAAUACUUCCACGACUUCUCCAUAUAAGUAGGAUCUCCAAAUCCUUAACGCAAACACCACUGCCGCCAUUUCUAAAUCGUGUGUUGGGUAGUUCUCUUCAUGUUUCCUGAGUUGCCUUGAUGCAUAAGCAAUUACUUUGCCUUCCUGCAUCAACACACAACCCAACCCAACCCUAGAAGCAUCUGCGUACACAGUGUAAGGUUUACCUUGUUCAGGUAAUGCCAAUACUGGUGUUGUGGUCAAAGCUUUCUUCAGUCUCUGAAAUGCUUCCACUGUUUCUUUUCCCCAGAUGAACGGAACUCCUUUUCCAGUCAACUUCGUUAGGGGCUUAGCGAUUGAGGAAAAGUCCUUGACGAACUUUCGAUAAUACCCGGCUAACCCGAGGAAACUUCUUACCUCGGUUACCGUUGAUGGCCUUUGCCAUUCCUCGAUGGCUUUCACCUUUUCCGAAUCUACAGAAACUCCUUCUCCGGACACUCGGUGCCCUAAGAAUCCGAUCUCUCUUUUCCAAAAAGAACACUUACUGAACUUUGCAUACAACCUCUGGUUUCUUAACCGUUCCAACACUAGCUUCAAGUGUGCUUUGUGCUCUACCUCUGUCUUGGAAUAUAUUAAAAUAUCAUCGAUGAAGAUUAUCACGAACUUGUCGAGAUAAUCGUGGAAGACUUCAUUCAUCAAUCUCAUGAAGGCCGCCGGUGCGUUAGUAAGUCCAAAUGGCAUUACGACAAACUCGUAUUGUCCAUAACGAGUUCUAAACGCAGUCUUCAUGAAAUCACCUUCUGAAAUUGGAAUCUGAUGAUAGCCCGACGCCAAGUCGAUCUUUGAAAACCAACUUGCUCCCCUUAACUGAUCCAACAAUUCGUCUAUCCUCGGAAGGGGAUACUUAUCUUUGAUGGUGAUAUUGUUGAUUCCUCGAUAAUCAAUGCAAAGCCGCAUGCUACCAUCUUUCUUCUUGACAAAUAAGACCGGAGCUCCCCAUGGUGAAGAGCUAGGUCUUAUGAAACCUUUGUCCAUUAAAUCUUCAAGUUGUGUCUUCAACUCUGCUAACUCUGCAGGUGCCAUGCGGUAAGGAGCCUUUGCUAUCGGCUUAGCUCCAGGUUCCAAGUUAAUUGUGAAAGGGUUACUCCGAGGUGGAGGUAACUCUUUUAACGCUGCAAACACAUCCUCAAACUCUUGUACUACCGCAAUAUCCGUAAUUUUAACUUCAUUGCUAACGGGUCCUUCACUAGCAGUUACUGUUACCAGAUACGCUUCUCCAUCCUUAAGCAAAUCUUCCACUCUCAAGGCAGCUACUAAAGACACAGAUUUGCUUGGACUGAUCCCGUAGAAUACUAUUUGCCGUUGCCCGUUCUCUUUGAACAAAAUACGACCUUUUUCACAAUCUAAUUGAGCCCGAUAGCCUGAUAACCAAUCCAUGCCCAGAAUAACCUCAUAUCCCUUUAAGGGCACCACCAACAAAUCUGCCACAAACAUCUUCUCGCAAAUGACUAACGGAACUCUUCUGAGGCACUCUUUUGCUUGUAGGGUUUGGUCUCCGGGAGUUAUCACAGCCACAUGCAUCCUGUCAAUCACAAAUGAUCUCACAAACUCGGCAGCUACCUCAGGGGUCACAAAGCUAUGUGUUGCCCCCGAGUCGAACAAUACAUGUGUGGGACGCCCCGCAACAUGUAAAGUUCCUGCCACAACAUCAAUAUGUAUCAACAACAUAAAAAUUAUCCAACAGAAAUUAAUCAAUCCAUCACAAGCAAUCACUCAACACAAAAUCAAUCUAGUAAAGUUAAAGAACCCAAAUACCUGUGAUGGGACCCUUAGAUGGGCCUGGAAGUUUAGUAUCCUCUAGUUCUAAAGCGUAAACUCUACCUCCUAUAGCUUGCCUUUUUGGCGCUGGUGCGAUUGCAGGUGGAGCCGGGGGAGGAUGGACACUGAUUGGCGUAGCCGGGAUAGGACGAUUGACACUGUACUGUGUAGAGAUGUGUCCUUUCUUUCCACACGUGUAGCAUGUAGGAUUGUAGGAGUUUGACUGAAAGGAUCCAGGUUUCUUUCCGAAGCAUUCACUCGACUUAUGGCCUAUCUUGCCACAGUUAAAGCAUUUUCCUGUGAAUAGAGAUCGUCGAGUUGGCCUUCCUGAUUCCUUUUCCUUAUCUUUACCCUUAAAUGAUCUUUGAUUUCCACCAUACUUUCCUUGUUCAUGCUGCUUGGACUUUUUACUUGCCGCCUUCUCAGCUUCUAAUCCGAUCUCUACAUUCACAGCUUUUUCCACUAGGUCGGUGAGACUCUCGUAGUUCCCGACUGCCAGUCUAUUUUCUAACUCUGGUUUUAAACCAAACAUAAAGUUGGAUAUCAUGGUUUCUUCAUCAUCUUGUCCCUGCAGCACAUGUCGUCGCAGUCGCAUGAACUCCGAUUCAUAUUCUCUAACUGUCUUGUCUCCUUGUGCUAGGUUAGCAAACUGACGUUGAAGCCUUCGCUUGGACUCCGGGGUGAAAUACUUGCGUUCAAAUUCCUUUUUGAAUGCCGCCCAAGUGGUGACCAGAUGUCCUACUUGGCGAUUCCUGUUUUCCCACCAUUCUGCCGCAUCUUUUUCUAAGUAAUACACCGCCAUCUUUUUCUUAGACUCUUCAGAACACGUCAGGGUCUCAAAGUUUUUCUCCAUAGUUCGAAGCCACUGGUCAGCUUCAAAUGGGUCUGUCCCUCCUUCAAAAUGUGGUGUCUUCAUGUUUUUCAUGGCAGUUAUCAAUGGUAACAUCGGUGUAGCCACUGUAGGUUGUGGUGGUACGAGUGGCUGAGGUUGCACCUGAGGUUGUUGCAGUGACCUCGCUAUCACGUCAUGAAGCAUCUUCAGAGUAUGCUCCAUUCCUAUUCCUUGUUGUGGUUGAUCAUGAACUUCUUGUUCAAUCGGGUUGCUCCGUCUUAUUGGUCUUGGUCCUUGGACACUUGACUCACUAUCAUCUGUUUCUGGUCUUUCCCUUACACUACGGUUCGGUGGAAAGUGUUCUUCUUGUGGCCUUGACUGGUCGUGCCCAAACAGAUUGUCAUUUUCCACUAUGUUAUCUUCGCUGAACUCCUGGUUGGUGUGUGCUAGUGUUUGCACUCUUACGUCGGAUUCAUAUCCCAGCCCUCGUCUUCUUGAGAUUCUUCCUGUACCCAGCAUCCAAUCCUGUCCCCCUUCACUCCUUCCCCUUCUUGCCAUCUGCAAUCCAUAAACAGGGAAUUUCCUAUUUAGAAUAAUAAUUAGAACGGAACUCUGCUGGUUUCCUAAUACAUCUUUUGCGACACAUUUGACUCGAUAAAACAUGAAAAAUGCGUGAUUGACCGCAUGAUCUAAACCAUGCUCUGAUACCACCUCUGUAACACCCCCGAACCAUUUAAGACAUCGGUCAGUCAGUCGAGCAACAAUCAAACAAGAACAUGCCCGAACGACCUUCCUCUGCUAAGUCUGGAAGUGUCACAACGGGUUUAGAAUAGACUUUCCAAGUCACAAAACAUAAUUCUGUAACCCAGAAUAUCCAUUCAAAACUCGUUUCCUCUAAUCUUCGGCCUGAGGCUUUGCAACCCGUACCGAGUCAUAGAGUUGUGUUAGGUUGGACUAACCUAAUAUCAGAUUCAACACGUCACGAAUAUUAAACAUACUUUAUUCCAUAUAUAUAUAAAACAUGAAGUUCACGAGCCCAAAAUAUUAUACAUAUGGUCCAUGGACGCAGUCGAAAGUAAAACAUACAUUCAUAUAUCUUGAAAACGAGUCUUUAGCAAAAGAUGUCCAAUCUACACCAGCUCCUACAGUUCCAUGAGUGCUACGGUCUUUUCUACUGGUCACCUGCAAAAGGAUGUGAGGAGUGAGUGAACUAGUUUCACUCAGUGAGCCAGGGUUCCCUAUCUAGCAUAUAUAACUACCCGUCAUUUUAAACCCAACCCCAAACACAAGCAAGACGGGUAGUUCAACAAUCAGUAUUCAAGAUCAUAAAGCAAUACCGAUUUAAGCAAUAAAGCUUUAAACCAUAUUUAAUCAAAACACUCUUUAUGAGUGUCAUUCAAUAAACCAUAUACAUGUACUCCUAGGGCCCAACAGAAUCAUUCUUCCUCCACAUAAGGGACACCGGCAAUCCCUUCACUAUUACACCACACAGGCGUAGGCGCUCGGGAAUCGCCCGGUCACGGUCCUCAAUCGGAAUCACCGUGCCCCGGUCCUCUAUCGGACUCGCCGGGGGCUGUCACAUCCACGUGUGACACCCGGCCUCGGUGAUCAAGCCAAGUUAAACCGAGCCCACCACUUUCCGGACCACGACCGGCUUAGUGGUACCAUUUGAGAAAGCAAUGACCUGCAACUACUACUAGAACCACCACGAGGUUCUCACACAACAAUACCAACACGAGGUACCCACUAUAACAACAUAUAAUAAUUACACAAUCGCAAUAAUCCGGGUGCUUAGACUAGUCUUGCUAUCCACUUAGCCUAGACAUCGUCUCAAGCCUCGGAUCCACAAACUGACACCUAGCCCGGUCCGGCUAUCCUAGCUCGGAAACCGUCUCCGAUGUCAGGAGCCUGCAUUAAAAAUUUGUUAACAAACAAUUAACCGUGACUCACAGUGAUUAACCGAUGUGGCUUGACUUUCUGAUUCCGGAAGCUGACCAAACCCUUUUUAUUCUUCCAAAUCUUCGUCUUGAUUACGUACCGUUAAUCUCGCAAUCUUGUAACACGUCUUGCCUCUCUAAGCAGCUCCUUAAAUAUAUUAUUUAUUUUCCUUCUUUUUUUUUUUCUAUUUCUUUUCUCUCUUUCUUUUAUUUCUCUUCUCUCCUGUUCUUUUUCUCCUUCUCUCUCUUGGUCGUUGAUGUUCUGAUCGUGAGAAAAUGGAGGGACUUUGCUUCAUUUAUAUAGUCAACCAAGAUGUAUGAGGUGGUGACAAGUAUCACACUCUUCUUCCCAUCUUUGACCACGUUUUCAAAGCAAUGACUAAGUCAUUUGCUUCCUAGUUGGCCACGUGAUACUCAUAAGCAUGAGCAAGCAUAUUAAUUUAUUUUCUUCCUUUCUUAUAUAGACACCUGAUGAUGACAAAGCAAACCUGUAUGAUUCAUUCUCCUUUCCUUCCCAUCAAACACGUUGAUUGCAACCAAGCCAUAAGAAAUAUAAAAUAUUUCUUUAUCUCCUCUUUUCUUCUCAGCUUGAUUAAUUAACCCAAACUUAGUAAUCAAAACACCAUUCUCAUCGAUCACUUUUCUCCUUUUAAAAGAUAUAGCUUAAUUAUCCAAUUAAGCUACUAACUUACUUUCAAUGCAUCGAUCACUUUUUGUCUUUAGCUUUGUAUUUUUCUUUCCAGAAAAAUUUAUUUCUGAGAAUUUAUUAUGUUGAAUUAUUUAUUUAAAAAUAAUUCUUUCUCAGAAAGACGGGAUAUUACAUCUAGGAAGUCUGAACUGGAUCACACUCUCUUCACCUUGACAGGACCUUCAGGGAUCAUUGUGAUUCUAGUGUAUGUGGAUGAUUUGAUUAUCACAGGAAGUGAUAAGGCAGGGAUUCAGGCUACUAAGGAGUUUCUCAAAUCAGUGUUUGACAUCAAGGAUUUGGGAGAGAUGAAGUAUUUUCUGGGUAUUGAGAUAUGCAGAUCAAAGGAGGGCUUGUUUAUGUCUCAAAGGAAGUACACUCAGGAUCUGUUGAAGGGCGCUGGUAAGCUUGGAGGAAAGACAGCUAAGACACCUCUUGAGGAUGGGUAUAAGGUUUUGCUUGAGGGGGAGAUUGAAAACAAUCAGCCAUUUGAAGAUGCUAAGCUGUAUAGGAAGAUGGUUGGGAAGCUGAUCUACUUGACAAUCACCAGACCAGACAUAUGUUUUGCUGUGAAUCAAGUUAGCCAGCAUAUGCAAGCUCCAAAGAUGCACCAUUGGAACAUGGUAGACAGAAUCUUGAGGUAUUUGAAUGUCUCUAGCGGCCAAGGAGUCUGGAUGGGAUGCAAUAGGAGUACAGAAGUGGUUGGUUAUUGUGAUGCUGACUGGGCCGGAGAUAGAGUUGAUAGGAGAUCAACUACUGGGUAUUGUACCUUCAUUGGAGGGAACUUGGUUACAUGGAAGAGUAAGAAGCAGAAGGUUGUCUCAUGUUCUAGUGCUGAGGCUGAAUAUAGAGCCAUGUUGAAGCUGACUAAUGAGCUAGUGUGGAUCAAAGGGAUAUUGAAGCAUUUGAGGAUUGAGCAGACCACUCCUAUGACAAUGCAUUGUGACAAUCAGGCUGCUAUUCACAUUGCCUCUAAUUCUGUGUUUCAUGAGAGAACAAAGCACAUAGAAGUUGAUUGUCACAAGGUGAGGCAGAUGAUUGUCCUAGGAGUAAUACUGCCAUGCUACACGAGGAGUGAGGAUCAACUGGCUGAUGUGUUUACUAAGGCAGCGAGGCAGAAGACAAUAGAGUCCAUACUAUCAAGGCUUGGACUCAUUGAUCUUACUCCCAGGAGCUGAUCCCCUUAACCAUGGAGUCUCUACUCUUUUUCCCUCAUCAAGGUUUUAUCCCAAUGGGUUUUCCUUGGUGAGGUUUAUAACGAGGGAGAUCUUCAUGGUUUCCAAGCUAGACAAGUUCAGUUAGUCUAGCUUGAGGAGGAGUGUUGAGAUGAAGAUCAAGAAGUGGAGAGAUGAAGCUUUGGGGUUCAGUAGAGUGAUGAGGUAGAAACAGUAACUUCAGAGAGUUACCAUGUCUGGAUGGAAGUGACUUGGGAAGUUACUUUGGCUCUAUCCUGAUGAAGGAACUCGUCCAAGAGAGGGAUGGAUAAGGUUUGGGGCU